Molecule: long non-coding RNA, 1306 nt
Organism: Chenopodium quinoa (quinoa)
Lineage: Eukaryota; Viridiplantae; Streptophyta; Magnoliopsida; Caryophyllales; Amaranthaceae
Exons: 5
Source: RefSeq, a predicted model, not a curated record
GCAUGAAUGACUCAACUAAGGGGUAAUAUGGGAAAUCCACAUUUUGCUUCUGAAAAGGUUCUGGAAAGUGUGUGGUCCCCACCCACCCACCAUCUUUCCUAGAUAGUUUAUCCAAAAUUUAAAAACCAUCCAAAAAAUUUGCAAUUAAAUUCUGUAAAAGAGGAGAGAGAAAACCAUAUGUCCAAAAAACCAUUUCUAUUCAAGGAUAAAGAGCAAAUUUAAAACCGCUUAGAAGUUGCCAAUUUCGCAUCGUUUAGGUUUGUCUUUAAGCAAAAUUUGAAGCAUUGUCUGGGUUUGUCUUCAAGCAAAUAAACGGAUUGCAUUUUCGCCCUAAUUUGCUUGCGCCAUUGGAUAUAAUUAGUCAUGUCGGAGCAGUUGAAUGUGACUUCCGUAGGAUGCAGAAGUAAUUGGGGGUGUACCCUUAAGCAGAUAAUGGGGAGUAGAAGUACUCCCGCUGCUUCUUCUAGCAAACAAGCAGAACAAGUAGUGAACAACAAAAGAAAAAUGAAAGCGGCAGUUGUCAUUUUAUAACUUGUACCUACCUAAUUAAUUUGGUAUUUUGGACUUUUGGAGCUAAGCUAUGUGUACUGGUGUAAACAUCCAUAAAGGUGUUUUUUGUGGGUUCUAUUGGUAUUGAAUAUUGCUGUCAUAUGUAGAUAUUUGUCCCUGUUUUAAUGGGGGAACACUAGUGGUGUGCUGCCUCCUCCUUUAAAGAACAAAAGAUAUGGCUAAUUGACUCCAUGUACUCUGACCCUACUAAGGAACAUGAAGCUUUCAUACCGAAAUUGAUUGGUGCGAUGGAGGUGUUGAUUAACACCCAUGACAACAAUUGGGAACAGGGUACUCUUGGAGGGUGGCCUAUUCAAAGCAUUGAAGUUUUUCACCAGUCUGAUCUAUGAGUUCACUACUGCUAUGUACAUUGAAGGAGGUGUUGAUUCCCAGGACAUGGAAUUCUCCCGGGGCGUCGCUUCUUAUUGAGGAUUCGCACUCCGUUUGCAAUGAAAAGCGGGACAACUUAGAUGGAAUAGCAGUUUUAUAGUUUGUGUAGUUUUGGAAUUUGUGUUGGCUAGAUAGACAGUAUGUAGGUUUUUGGUUCAGAAAUUGUCUGGAAUUUGUGUUGGCUAGAUAGAUAGACAUUAUGUUUGGAAUUUGUGUUGGCUAGACAUACAUUUAUUUUGGUUCAGGAAGAAAGGAGAUGGGAUACCACAUCUUCCCAAUCCUUUUUGUAAUGGUAUCACAAUUGCUGCUACUAUGAUACCAUUUGUACUAAAGUUGCUUUCAAAUAUAUUUGUUUAUUUUGUGCUAA